Archocentrus centrarchus (flier cichlid) is the source of this 3161-nucleotide RNA transcript. It is a transcript of the gene named NACHT, LRR and PYD domains-containing protein 1b allele 5-like, with no coding region annotated. The transcript is spliced from 10 exons. NCBI's taxonomy places the organism in Eukaryota, Metazoa, Chordata, Actinopteri, Cichliformes, Cichlidae. The record is from RefSeq and is a predicted model, not a curated record.
ACUCGUGCAGGAUACGGGAACAGGUAUUAAGUCCCAUGUAGUUGGUGUUUAUAUUGAAAGAUAACAACUAAAGUAUCGAAAUAUAACACAUCUGCGUAGUUGUUACAAACCCUGCGCCGUGACUGCGCGCAGUGCGGAGGCCGGACGCAGCUUCAGAACCGAGGCAGGAACCAACUUUCAGACUUGUUCGGUUUGAGGGCGCUCAGACAGCCAGCAGCUGUUUCCCAAACUUCUCCGCGUUUUCAGAGCUUUGACUUUAAAGAAGCAAAUCCCCAAAGAAAGGGGGAGAAAGCGGGACAAGAAGCUGUGAGUGCCAGUGUUGUGGAACUAUGAUGCAGGAUUUCAGUAACUGGACUAAACUUGAACCUGAGGUGAACUCUACACAUGUAGACGAGGCUCCCACUUACAGCCUUCGUUCUGAAGCGGGACACUUCGAAUGCAGUGUCUCUGGCUUGCGUUGGGUCUGUAAGGAAAAGGCCAGCUUUCAGUACCACUUUUGCUCGUGGGGGGGACACAUGGAGAGGGUGGAAAGCAGACAGUACAUGUCUGCAGGUCCCAUAAUUGAUGUUGCAGUCACAGCUGGGAAGUUAAGUGAAAUGCACUUGCCACACUGGAUCUGUAUAGACGACAUCCCCGACAUACCGGACAGGUUUGCGGUCCUUCACAUAGACGACUGUGGAGAUUUUGUAGAAAAAGUGUCUGAAGUCACACCAACACAUGUCAAGUUGAACGAACUAACUUUUUUUCCGAGAGCAGUCGCUCUGAAGUUGGGCUCCCCCGUUAAAAUCAGCUGUAAUGUGUUGAUAUACUAUAAACCCAACACUCCGUUUCUCAAGCUCCGCGUCUACCUGAUUCCAAAUGACCCUGCUCUACAACAGAAAAUGGACAAGCAAGAAUCCUGUAGUGGCUAUGAAAAAAUUACCAAGCUGCGCCCAGAGAAGCACCUCAAAAUGCAUCACGGUUUCUCCCUCACAGCCGACACAGUCUCAGCACAAAUUCAACCACAGAAAAUAACCCUGAGAAAUGAUAGCCAAGACCCAAACUUCUAUGAGGUGUACAUUGAAAAUCCAGAAAGAUGCUUCAACCUGAAACUUCAGUAUGCCUUGUCAAAAAAACACGAACCGGUGUAUGAACCAGUUUGGACCUGUGAACUCCGAAAAGAUGAUCAUCCAAAGUCAGGUUACGGGGAAGGUGCAAGAUCCUCGAGGGGAGUAACUGGUGUCAGUACUUUGGCUGUUGGUUUAAUACAGGCUUUACAGAUAACAGAAACCCAACAACCUGCAGCAGUGAUGUUUGCCAGUGGUUUGUGUUGGAGCAGUGUGAAUCUGUAUUUUCCCACCAGCCUGCUCAAAUAUUUAUUUGCACUCACACACAGAAACUUGCAGGCCGGACCAUAAAAUGAUCUGCGUUUAUUCUGCUCUAACUGCCACUCCUUUAAAUAUUUCCAUCAGCCUGGCACAUCUCUGCUCCAAACCCAUGGAGGUCGAUUAGGAAAAUACUUUUUGAAUCUCUAAGAAAGUGUCUGAUGUGAUUACCGCCCUUGAUUGUGAGGACUGAGUGUUUUAUCAAUAACAGAAAGUGAUAGAUUCCUGAUUUCUUUUUGUGCUCCUCAGACAAACACUCUGUGGAUAAGCUGCCUGCUGUGACACAGAAAGUUUCAGUGUCGAUGCCCGUCUGAGCGCUGGAGUCCCCCAGCUUCCAGACAGCUUCCAGCACCCAACCCAAAGAUUCCAGCCAGGAAUGGCCUCUGCCUACAGUUUUCAAAUUUUUAAUAGUUUCAAAAAGAUGCAAUUUGAUUAUUAUUGUUGAUAAAUUAGCAUUUAUACCAUUAUGUAUUCUGUUCAACCAUGUAGUUUUUUUUUUACGUGUCUGUGUUGUUUCCUUGUUUUAUGGGACACGUGUUUCUGAAAAAAACGACCUUUGCGUGCUUUACACUAAGAACUUAAAAAUAAUCUUGGCAUCCCAUUUAAUGAAUUGCAUUUUUAAGCUACCAGGUAGUAACAAUGCCUGCUGCCUGUAAACAUUCAAAAUGUUUUGUUACGCUAAAAUCUGAUAAAUGCCUAAUAAAUGAUGUUUGUGUGUUUCCAAGAAAUUAUGGCCUUAAAAGAACAUAAGAAGCAAGUGUAACGGCUACCCGAUUAUUUUAAUGUGGCUCUUUUUUCUUUUUGGCAUUAUGUUAAAGAAGAGUCAGUGAAAUAGAAAUGUCAACAGACGUUUCUUCAUGAGGAAAACAAGAAACAGUUCAAGAAGUUAAGUGUGUUUCAGCCAAGAUCACUGUAGUCAGAAAGACAUACAUAUUAGGUGAUUCAUAUUUUUCCCCACCUUCCAACGUGCAUACAUGUUAAGCUGCUUAGACCAAACAGAACAGGUAGCAGCAACAGCAGCCACGACACAAAGUCUGACACAGCGUAAAAUCCAGAGCUGGGAUGGAAGUGGGUUACAAAGUGGCUUGCAUCAUAAGUUUGGUUAGCAGCUGAGUCCUCAGCUGUUGUGAGCUGGCAUUGAAAUCAAUUUUGUGGCCUGGUUAAGACCAAACCACUGAUGAAGGCCUUGACCACCUCAUGAGAAAGCCGAGAGUGUCUCACACUGUUAAGAAAAUAUACAGAAUUAACAGUGCACCAUAGUUUUACAUCAGGGAAGUCAGAAAACAGCCGGCAGAGGUUUGUUACAUGUAUUAUAAUGACCCUGACUUUUCUUCAGAAUGAGAUUCAUGGAAUAAAAUGUUCUGUCGUGGCAGUUCCUCGCAACAUUCCUAUAACGAGCUCAGGUCUGAAAGUGAUGAGGCAUUUAUGCUCCAUAAAUUGUACUUGAUUAUCCAGAGUGUUUGAACUGCAUGAAAGCCCUAAAGCCUACGGUCCCAUCACACUUUUUAAAAAAUUAUUAUUUAUAUUAUUCCAACAUAAAGUGGACAUAUUUAAUUGUGAGUCAACACAAAUUAUGACAUAGAGUGGCUACAUUUGUAAUUUUUUCAAUGGCCAGCAUAACUGUUCCAUAAGUCAAGUUUAUCCAACUGCGGGAAAUUAUGUCAGAAAAGAUUUCAGAAGGUUUCAAACUAAAACAAAGGCGUAACGUGGCUUAUCCUAACAGCAGGUGCUGAAACACGUUUUGCUACCUGACAUCAGACCUGUGUGGAGAACAGAGGGCCUGUGAGCAGCUGGGGG